RNAcentral lists this long non-coding RNA (495 nucleotides) under Coturnix japonica (Japanese quail). RNAcentral describes it as "lncRNA (ENSCJPG00005018961.1)". Lineage: Eukaryota; Metazoa; Chordata; Aves; Galliformes; Phasianidae. The record is from RNAcentral.
UCAAGGCAUACAGGAGGCAUCUUGCAGCAGCUCCUGCAGGGGUGCACCUGAAUGGCUUUGGGGUCCUGCACAGCAACAGGAGCAAUUUUGGAAAAACUCAGAACAGCAUGAAAACAAGAGAGUAACGUGGAGAGAAGUACAACUCAAGUUACCAAAACCCUGUAAAAUAAUGAAAUCAGAGAACAGAAGCAAGAAUUUGAUCAACUGUUUCAGGUCAAGUAUGAAGACUAAACAUCUCUACUGCUGAGGGAGAAGAAGGGAAGAAGGACAAGUGCUUGCACCAGGAGCAGGGCAUACAAGAGGUUGCUCAUAAGAUACAAACAAGGCCUCAAAGCCACAGGAAGACUGGAUGAAAACUGUAGCCCAGCAUGUUUUGAUGUCCUAGCUCACCUACUGCAGGAAGAUCAUCAUUGCUCACCGUGCUCACCAUUGGCCUGUUUCUUCCUUGGAAAACUGUCUGCACUGAAAGAACAAGAUGUGGUUGAUAAUCCAUAA